AAUUUUGUGUUUUUAAUUUAAAUCAAGGAUCACUCAAGAGGUUUUUAUAGGGAGAAAAAAAAAAUAUUAUCAAAAACCUCUUGAGUGAUCCUUGAUUUAAAUU
This is a non-coding RNA of Paramuricea clavata, 103 nucleotides long. The record is from the annotation of a GenBank genome assembly. NCBI's taxonomy places the organism in Eukaryota, Metazoa, Cnidaria, Anthozoa, Malacalcyonacea, Plexauridae.